GGCUGGCUGGCAGUCGAUCGAGGGGUGGCCCCCGGCCACCCAAGCCGGCCACCCCCUCCGGCCACCUCCCUCUCUCCUCCGUCUCUUCUUCUCCCCCUGUUCGUGGGGGGGAGUUUGGGGAAGGAGGAGGCCCAUCACGGGCCAAACUGGGCCGUUGGGCCCAGUCCAUUGCAGGCCCAACUUGGGCCCAGUCCAGUCCGGUUGGGCCCAGUUGGGCAAUACCCCCAUGGGCCCAACUUGGAUCCAGAUCAAACCCGAGAAUCCGAACCCGAACUCGAACCUGAAACCAAUAAACAGAUUUUUUUGCAGUUAAGCCCUUGGCAGUAUGCUAUUUCAGAAAUAGGGACUCCUGUAAUUUGUAUUUGAUCCCUAUAGGAAAGAUUUAUUACAUAAAGGCCCCCAACUAUAUUUAUUUAGUCCCCUCACUCAAGUUUUAUUAUAGAAUAGUACCCUGUAAUUAAGUAUUAGUCCCUGCAAUAAAUCUUAUUGCAUAAAUGAACAAAUUAGAGGCCAACCUUGGGAGGGCCCUAUUGGGCCGAGUCUAUGUGGGCCCAUUGGGCCGUGUCUGAUGUGGGCCCUAUCGGGCCAUGUU
Molecule: long non-coding RNA, 592 nt
Filed under: Phoenix dactylifera (date palm)
Lineage: Eukaryota; Viridiplantae; Streptophyta; Magnoliopsida; Arecales; Arecaceae
Description: long non-coding RNA (PDAC_LNC019855)
Source: RNAcentral